Molecule: ribosomal RNA, 493 nt
Filed under: uncultured bacterium
Lineage: Bacteria
Description: bacterial SSU rRNA
Rfam family: Bacterial small subunit ribosomal RNA
Source: RNAcentral
AAAUGAAUUGACGGGGACCCGCACAAGCAGUGGAGUAUGUGGUUUAAUUCGAAGCAACGCGAAGAACCUUACCAGGUCUUGACAUCCCCCUGAAUAGUCUAGAGAUAGGCUAGGCCUUCGGGACAGGGGAGACAGGUGGUGCAUGGUUGUCGUCAGCUCGUGUCGUGAGAUGUUGGGUUAAGUCCCGCAACGAGCGCAACCCUUGACUUUAGUUGCCAGCAUUCAGUUGGGCACUCUAGAGUGACUGCCGGUGACAAACCGGAGGAAGGUGGGGAUGACGUCAAAUCAUCAUGCCCCUUAUGACCUGGGCUACACACGUACUACAAUGGCCGGAACAACGGGAAGCGAAGUGGUGACACGGAGCCAAUCCUUAUAAAUCGGUCUCAGUUCGGAUUGCAGGCUGCAACUCGCCUGCAUGAAGUCGGAAUUGCUAGUAAUCGCGGAUCAGCAUGCCGCGGUGAAUACGUUCCCGGGUCUUGCACACACCGCCCGU